GUCAAGUGAAUAAGCGCAUAUGGUGGAUGCCUAGGCGGUAGAAGGCGAUGAAGGACGUGGUAGGCUGCGAUAAGCCUCGGGGAGCUGUCAAACUAGCUUUGAUCCGAGGAUUUCCGAAUGGGGAAACCCGGCUGUCUUUGGACAGUCAUCGUGCACUGAAUACAUAGGUGUACGAAGCGAACCCGGGGAACUGAAACAUCUAAGUACCCGGAGGAAAAGAAAUCAAUUGAGAUUCCCUUAGUAGCGGCGAGCGAACGGGGACCAGCCCUAAAGCGGUUAUUGUUUUAGUAGAAUGCUCUGGAAAGUGCAGCCAUAGCGGGUGAUAGCCCCGUAUACGAAAAAGCAAUUUCUGUUAUUCGAGUAGGACGGGACACGUGUUAUCUUGUCUGAAUAUGGGGGGCCCAUCCUCCAAGGCUAAAUACUCUCUACCGACCGAUAGUGAACUAGUACCGUGAGGGAAAGGCGAAAAGAACCCCGGAGAGGGGAGUGAAAUAGAACCUGAAACCGUAUGCGUACAAGCAGUGGGAGCAGACUUGUUCUGUGACUGCGUACCUUUUGUAUAAUGGGUCAGCGACUUACUUUGUGUGGCAAGGUUAACCGUAUAGGGGAGCCGUAGGGAAACCGAGUCUUAACCGGCGUUUUAGUCGCACAGAGUAGACCCGAAACCGGACGAUCUAUCCAUGGCCAGGUUGAAGGUGGGGUAAAACCCACUGGAGGACCGAACCCACUACCGUUGAAAAGUUAGGGGAUGAGUUGUGGAUAGGAGUGAAAGGCUAAUCAAGUUCGGAGAUAGCUGGUUCUCCUCGAAAGCUAUUUAGGUAGCGCCUCGUGUCUCACUCCUGGGGGUAGAGCACUGUUUCGGCUAGGGGGUCAUCCCGACUUACCAACCCGAUGCAAACUCCGAAUACCAGGAAGUGCAAUCACGGGAGACACACGGCGGGUGCUAACGUCCGUCGUGGAGAGGGAAACAACCCAGACCGCCAGCUAAGGUCCCUAAAUCAUCACUUAGUGGGAAACGAUGUGGGAAGGCACAGACAGCCAGGAGGUUGGCUUAGAAGCAGCCAUCCUUUAAAGAAAGCGUAAUAGCUCACUGGUCGAGUCGGCCUGCGCGGAAGAUAUAACGGGGCUCAAGUGAUGUACCGAAGCUGCGGAUGCGUGUUUACACGCAUGGUAGAGGAGCGUUCUGUACGCCUGCGAAGGUGUGCUGUAAGGCAUGCUGGAGGUAUCAGAAGUGCGAAUGCUGACAUGAGUAACGAUAAUGGGGGUGAAAAACCCCCACGCCGAAAGCCCAAGGUUUCCUGCGCAACGUUAAUCGGCGCAGGGUGAGUCGGCCCCUAAGGCGAGGGCGAAAGCCGUAGUCGAUGGGAAUCAGGUUAAUAUUCCUGAACCGCUUAUAACUGCGAUGGGGGGACGGAGAAGGCUAGGUCAGCCGGCUGUUGGAUGUGCCGGUUUAAGCAUGUAGGUAGGUCUCUUAGGCAAAUCCGGGAGACUAUUACUGAGAUGUGAUGACGAGUUCCCUUUUAAGGGAGCGAAGUGAUUGAUGCCAUGCUUCCAGGAAAAUCCUCUAAGCUUCAGGUUAUAAGUGACCGUACCCCAAACGGACACACGUGGGCGGGGUGAGAAUCCCAAGGCGCUUGAGAGAACUCGGGUGAAGGAACUAGGCAAAAUAGCACCGUAACUUCGGGAGAAGGUGUGCCCCUGUUGGUGAUCGGACUUGCUCCGUAAGCUGAUGGGGGUUGCAGUGACCAGGUGGCUGCGACUGUUUACUAAAAACACAGCACUCUGCAAACACGAAAGUGGACGUAUAGGGUGUGACGCCUGCCCGGUGCCGGAAGGUUAAUUGAUGGGGUUAUCUUCGGAGAAGCUCUUGAUCGAAGCCCCGGUAAACGGCGGCCGUAACUAUAACGGUCCUAAGGUAGCGAAAUUCCUUGUCGGGUAAGUUCCGACCUGCACGAAUGGCGUAACGAUGGCCACACUGUCUCCACCCGAGACUCAGUGAAAUUGAAAUCGCUGUGAAGAUGCAGCGUACCCGCGGCAAGACGGAAAGACCCCGUGAACCUUUACUAUAGCUUCACACUGAACUUUGAGCCUGUUUGUGUAGGAUAGCUGGGAGGCUUUGAAGCGGAGACGCCAGUCUUCGUGGAGCCAACCUUGAAAUACCAGCCUGGCAUGUUUGAGGUUCUAACCUCGACCCGUUAUCCGGGUCAGGGACAGUGUGUGGUGGGUAGUUUGACUGGGGCGGUCUCCUCCCAAAGAGUAACGGAGGAGCACGAAGGUACCCUCAGCGCGGUCGGACAUCGCGCAAUGAGUGCAAAGGCAUAAGGGUGCUUGACUGCGAGACGGACAUGUCGAGCAGGUACGAAAGUAGGUCUUAGUGAUCCGGUGGCGCUUUAUGGAAGGGCCAUCGCUCAACGGAUAAAAGGUACUCCGGGGAUAACAGGCUGAUUCUUCCCAAGAGUUCACAUCGACGGGAGAGUUUGGCACCUCGAUGUCGGCUCAUCACAUCCUGGGGCUGUAGUCGGUCCCAAGGGUAUGGCUGUUCGCCAUUUAAAGUGGUACGCGAGCUGGGUUUAGAACGUCGUGAGACAGUUCGGUCCCUAUCUGCCGUGGGCGUUUGAGAUUUGAAUGGAGCUGCUCCUAGUACGAGAGGACCGGAGUGGACGUUCCUCUGGUGUUCCGGUUGUCACGCCAGUGGCAUUGCCGGGUAGCUAUGAACGGACAGGAUAACCGCUGAAAGCAUCUAAGCGGGAAGCCCCCCAUAAGAUGAGAUCUCACUGGAGCCUUGAGCUCCCUAAAGGGUCGUCGAAGACUACGACGUUGAUAGGCUGGAUGUGGAAGCGCAGUAAUGUGCGAAGCUAACCAGUACUAAUUGCCCGUGAGGCUUGACC
RNAcentral lists this ribosomal RNA (2888 nucleotides) under marine eukaryotic metagenome. Its description in RNAcentral is "Bacterial large subunit ribosomal RNA". It matches the Rfam family "Bacterial large subunit ribosomal RNA". The record is from RNAcentral.